GACGAACGCUGGCGGCGUGCUUAACACAUGCAAGUCGAACGGAAAGGCCCUGCUUUUGUGGGGUGCUCGAGUGGCGAACGGGUGAGUAACACGUGAGUAACCUGCCCUUGACUUUGGGAUAACUUCAGGAAACUGGGGCUAAUACCGGAUAGGAGCUCCUGCUGCAUGGUGGGGGUUGGAAAGUUUCGGCGGUUGGGGAUGGACUCGCGGCUUAUCAGCUUGUUGGUGGGGUAGUGGCUUACCAAGGCUUUGACGGGUAGCCGGCCUGAGAGGGUGACCGGGCACAUUGGGACUGAGAUACGGCCCAGACUCCUACGGGAGACAGCAGUGGGGAAUAUUGCACAAUGGGCGGAAGCCUGAUGCAGCAACGCCGCGUGCGGGAUGACGGCCUUCGGGUUGUAAACCGCUUUCGCCUGUGACGAAGCGUGAGUGACGGUAAUGGGUAAAGAAGCACCGGCUAACUACGUG
This 468-nucleotide ribosomal RNA is filed under the name uncultured bacterium. Its description in RNAcentral is "partial 16S ribosomal RNA". It matches the Rfam family "Bacterial small subunit ribosomal RNA", at positions 28 to 507 of the family's 1533-position model. The record is from RNAcentral.